Molecule: non-coding RNA, 280 nt
Organism: Paramuricea clavata
Lineage: Eukaryota; Metazoa; Cnidaria; Anthozoa; Malacalcyonacea; Plexauridae
Source: the annotation of a GenBank genome assembly
GAAACUCAUUAGAAUAACCAUAUAACUCAUUAUCUAUGUUAGUCAACGUUUAUUCAUAAAUCUGGUCCUUCACCAUCAUGUGUGUAUUACAUUUUUGCCAAAUCCACCAAUAGCAAUUUCCAGUUUCGCAAUUGUUCGAGUCACAGAUAGGUAACUUUCCUAAAACAUUGCUAUUGGUUAGUUGGGCAAAAAUACAAUACACACGUGACGGUGAAGAACCAGAGUUAUGAAUCAACGUUGACUAACAAAGAUGAGUUAUAUUGUUAUUCUAAUGAGUUUC